Triticum aestivum (bread wheat) is the source of this 777-nucleotide long non-coding RNA. RefSeq lists it as uncharacterized. Lineage: Eukaryota; Viridiplantae; Streptophyta; Magnoliopsida; Poales; Poaceae. The record is from RefSeq and is a predicted model, not a curated record. The transcript is spliced from 8 exons.
ACCUCAUGGUCACAAGGCAGCAGCUUUACCACUGCGCCAAGGCUCCCCUUCGCAGGAUAAUUGGUGUUGUUUUCGCUGCAGCUCAAGCCGGAUUUUGGAUUGCAAGGCUAAGCAGAAGCUGAAAAGAAGAAAUAUAUAAACCACAUUGAGAAGUUAGUCCAAUGAAUGGGAUGGGAGCCCUUCAAAGUCACAUAUACAAGCGAUUUAUGUUCAAGCUUUAUACGAGCAGGCAAUUGAGUUAAUCGGAAAGGGGAUAGCCUAUGUGGAUCACCAGGAGUUCUUUCAAUUCUCCUAUGCUUGGGAUCUGUUUGAUUGAUGGACCUUAAAGCUCAUGCAAUAAUGUAUGAACUUGUCAAAAGAUUUGAUUGUGUCUUGAAGUAACAAGGAAGAAGGGUCAGUUUAUGUUAUGCACUAAGCACAAAAAAUGAUGCCAUUGAGAAUAAUUGAUCUGCUAUGAGUAAAAGAGAGCAUUUGUACUGUUGAGUUUGAUUUAUUAAUUCGGUGGGGUACAGCCUGUUGGAGCUAUGCAAGUGCUGAUCAUCAUUUCUCAGAGUAAAGAACUGAGCAUUUGUCCUCUACGCACAAAAGCUAGAUAGAGAUUCUUUUGGUUGCUGCAGCGCAUGCAAUUCUAUACGAGUAUGUCACCAACUGGUUCAGAUUGGAUGAGUCCAUGUACCAUUGAGCUCUCAAUGACUACUACGAUAGCACCGAUAAGGUUCUGCCUCCGAGGAGUACCGUGAUUACCCUAACGAAGAACCGUAUCAGUGCAUCGAACCA